UUUCGCUAGAUUAAUUAUUGUGGUUUAAUUUUCUAAAUAUAUUCUUAUAUCUUGCACAUGUUUGUGUAACAGAUCAUGAUAUGAACGAGUGUGAUAAAUAUUACUUUGUAGAAAGAAAAAAGAAAUCCGUAGCUGGGAAUGGUAUGACACCAAAACGGGAAGUUAAAGGGCAAUUUUACCGAGGAUGGUGGAGGGCCAGCAACAAUAAAUCCAUUCGAGACAAGCUAGGCAAUGAUAUUGGUUCAGUGAUGUCGUUAACAUAUUUCAGUUACAAAAAUAACAAUCAAAGACUUGAAGAAAGCAUCAAAACUGAUUGGGUCAUGCAUGAAUUUAAGCUCAAAGAGGAUAAGGUAUGAGUGCAGUUCCAAAAAUGGGUGGUUUGCCGAAUAAGAUAUAAUGGCAAGAAAAACAACGAAGAAGGAAACCGAAACAAAAAUGAAGGCAGUGACGAAAGUUACACUAAUAUUACUUGUGAAAAAGAAAGAGUAGUGCCUAACAUGGAAUAUGUAACUUUAAACACCAAGAAUGUAGAGCAGCAACAGGAACAUUUUGCAGAUAUGUCUCACCAGGAAAAAUCGAACUUAGGAAUUACACACACGAGUAGUAACACUCAUCAAGAGCUGAAAUCCAACAAUAACUAUGAAGGAAAAUCUGACAUGGAAUUAGAAAAUGCAAAUGAAGAAUAUUUAAAUUGGGUGGAGCAUAUGUUUUUUGAUGAUCAUGAAGAGCAGCAGAAACAAUUUUCAAAUAUGUCCCACUCCCACUCCCACCAAGAGCUGCUGCAAGAAAAAGGAGAACAAGAG
Long non-coding RNA from Cornus florida, 803 nucleotides. RefSeq lists it as uncharacterized. The record is from RefSeq and is a predicted model, not a curated record. The transcript is spliced from 2 exons. NCBI's taxonomy places the organism in Eukaryota, Viridiplantae, Streptophyta, Magnoliopsida, Cornales, Cornaceae.